AGAGUUUGAUCCUGGCUCAGGAUGAACGCUAGCUACAGGCUUAACACAUGCAAGUCGAGGGGAAACGAUAGAGAAAGCUUGCUUUUUCUAGGCGUCGACCGGCGCACGGGUGAGUAACGCGUAUCCAACCUGCCCACCACUUGGGGAUAACCUUGCGAAAGUAAGACUAAUACCCAAUGAUAUCUCAAGAAGACAUCUGAAUGAGAUUAAAGAUUUAUCGGUGAUGGAUGGGGAUGCGUCUGAUUAGCUUGUUGGCGGUGUAACGGCCCACCAAGGCGACGAUCAGUAGGGGUUCUGAGAGGAAGGUCCCCCACAUUGGAACUGAGACACGGUCCAAACUCCUACGGGAGGCAGCAGUGAGGAAUAUUGGUCAAUGGGCGAGAGCCUGAACCAGCCAAGUAGCGUGCAGGAUGACGGCCCUAUGGGUUGUAAACUGCUUUUAUAAGGGAAUAAAGUGAGUCUCGUGAGGCUUUUUGCAUGUACCUUAUGAAUAAGGACCGGCUAAUUCCGUGCCAGCAGCCGCGGUAAUACGGAAGGUCCGGGCGUUAUCCGGAUUUAUUGGGUUUAAAGGGAGCGUAGGCCGGAGAUUAAGCGUGUUGUGAAAUGUAGACGCUCAACGUCUGCACUGCAGCGCGAACUGGUUUCCUUGAGUACGCACAAAGUGGGCGGAAUUCGUGGUGUAGCGGUGAGAUGCUUAGAUAUCACGAAGAACUCCGAUUGCGAAGGCAGCUCACUGGAGCGCAACUGACGCUGAAGCUCGAAAGUGCGGGUAUCGAACAGGAUUAGAUACCCUGGUAGUCCGCACGGUAAACGAUGGAUGCCCGCUGUUGGUCUGAAUAGGUCAGCGGCCAAGCGAAAGCAUUAAGCAUCCCACCUGGGGAGUACGCCGGCAACGGUGAAACUCAAAUGAAUUGACGG
This 918-nucleotide ribosomal RNA is filed under the name uncultured bacterium. RNAcentral's name for it is "bacterial SSU rRNA". It matches the Rfam family "Bacterial small subunit ribosomal RNA", at positions 8 to 916 of the family's 1533-position model. The record is from RNAcentral.